GCCCGGAUAGCUCAGACGGUAGAGCAUUG
RNAcentral lists this non-coding RNA (29 nucleotides) under Bombyx mori (domestic silkworm). The record is from RNAcentral. Lineage: Eukaryota; Metazoa; Arthropoda; Insecta; Lepidoptera; Bombycidae. RNAcentral also lists the same sequence under 1 other name.